UGGAAUGGAGAAAUUUAAUCC
RNAcentral lists this non-coding RNA (21 nucleotides) under Caenorhabditis elegans. Lineage: Eukaryota; Metazoa; Nematoda; Chromadorea; Rhabditida; Rhabditidae. The record is from RNAcentral.